CGGACAGUCAAGUGGUUUAAGCGUUAGACUUUUACUCAAAAGGUCAGUGGUUCGAGUCCAAGGUUUGG
This 68-nucleotide transfer RNA is filed under the name Dreissena polymorpha. RNAcentral's name for it is "tRNA-Lys". Lineage: Eukaryota; Metazoa; Mollusca; Bivalvia; Myida; Dreissenidae. The record is from RNAcentral.